RNAcentral lists this transfer RNA (92 nucleotides) under Kamagatella elastica. Its description in RNAcentral is "Gottschalkiaceae bacterium SANA tRNA-Ser". It matches the Rfam family "tRNA". From Rfam's summary of the family: Transfer RNA (tRNA) molecules are approximately 80 nucleotides in length. Their secondary structure includes four short double-helical elements and three loops (D, anti-codon, and T loops). Lineage: Bacteria; Bacillati; Bacillota; Tissierellia; Tissierellales; Kamagatellaceae. The record is from RNAcentral.
GGAAAGGUGGCUGAGUUGGCUUAAGGCGCACGCCUGGAAAGCGUGUUGGCGGUAAUACCGUCACGAGGGUUCGAAUCCCUCCCUUUCCGCCA